RNAcentral lists this ribosomal RNA (741 nucleotides) under Rothia mucilaginosa. Its description in RNAcentral is "bacterial SSU rRNA". It matches the Rfam family "Bacterial small subunit ribosomal RNA", at positions 28 to 776 of the family's 1533-position model. Lineage: Bacteria; Bacillati; Actinomycetota; Actinomycetes; Micrococcales; Micrococcaceae. The record is from RNAcentral.
GACGAACGCUGGCGGCGUGCUUAACACAUGCAAGUCGAACGAUGAAGCCUAGCUUGCUAGGUGGAUUAGUGGCGAACGGGUGAGUAAUACGUGAGUAACCUACCUUUAACUCUGGGAUAAGCCUGGGAAACUGGGUCUAAUACCGGAUACGACCGAUCUCCGCAUGGGGUGUUGGUGGAAAGCGUUAUGUAGUGGUUAUAGAUGGGCUCACGGCCUAUCAGCUUGUUGGUGAGGUAACGGCUCACCAAGGCGACGACGGGUAGCCGGCCUGAGAGGGUGACCGGCCACACUGGGACUGAGACACGGCCCAGACUCCUACGGGAGGCAGCAGUGGGGGAUAUUGCACAAUGGGCGCAAGCCUGAUGCAGCGACGCCGCGUGAGGGAUGACGGCCUUCGGGUUGUAAACCUCUGUUAGCAGGGAAGAAGAGAAAUUGACGGUACCUGCAGAGAAAGCGCCGGCUAACUACGUGCCAGCAGCCGCGGUAAUACGUAGGGCGCGAGCGUUGUCCGGAAUUAUUGGGCGUAAAGAGCUUGUAGGCGGUUUGUCGCGUCUGCUGUGAAAGGCCGGGGCUUAACCCCGUGUAUUGCAGUGGGUACGGGCAGACUAGAGUGCAGUAGGGGAGACUGGAAUUCCUGGUGUAGCGGUGGAAUGCGCAGAUAUCAGGAGGAACACCGAUGGCGAAGGCAGGUCUCUGGGCUGUAACUGACGCUGAGAAGCGAAAGCAUGGGGAGCGAACAGG